Molecule: long non-coding RNA, 440 nt
Organism: Dendronephthya gigantea
Lineage: Eukaryota; Metazoa; Cnidaria; Anthozoa; Malacalcyonacea; Nephtheidae
Exons: 4
Source: RefSeq, a predicted model, not a curated record
CAGAGUCAUUGACUAACUCAAGUUUCUCCGUGUGAUGAAGUUUUGGAAUCUUUACUAUUAUAGCUAUAUAUCAGUGAAUACUUAUACCGAGAUGAGCCGGAUUUUUGUGUUGGCUAAUAAGGCAUUACUUGGAUAGUUGGAUAGUAAGUAAAAAUGGAUUUCCGUCUAAAUAUUCUCCUCUUGCUGGUUAUUUUUGUGGCAUUUUCUAAUGUUGAUGGUCGCAGCAUUAAAGCUAUAGGUGAGGUGAAGAGAUUCGGCGAACCGUAUUAUUGUCCCCAAAACUAUGAAGUAUGUUAUACUUUUUGCGGAAUAAAUCACUUCAAAUGCUGUUGUCCUAAGCCGGAAUAUGGUUAAACCGGAAAACGUUUUCUACUUUGGGUGUGUUAUCUUUAAUGUUAAAGUUAUGGAAUGUAACCGAUCUAUAUCAGUUUAACAAAAAG